This 468-nucleotide ribosomal RNA is filed under the name uncultured bacterium. RNAcentral's name for it is "partial 16S ribosomal RNA". It matches the Rfam family "Bacterial small subunit ribosomal RNA", at positions 28 to 507 of the family's 1533-position model. The record is from RNAcentral.
GACGAACGCUGGCGGCGUGCUUAACACAUGCAAGUCGAACGGAAAGGCCCUGCUUUUGUGGGGUGCUCGAGUGGCGAACGGGUGAGUAACACGUGAGUAACCUGCCCUUGACUUUGGGAUAACUUCAGGAAACUGGGGCUAAUACCGGAUAGGAGCUCCUGCUGCAUGGUGGGGGUUGGAAAGUUUCGGCGGUUGGGGAUGGACUCGCGGCUUAUCAGCUUGUUGGUGGGGUAGUGGCUUACCAAGGCUUUGACGGGUAGCCGGCCUGAGAGGGUGACCGGCCACAUUGGUACUGAGAUACGGCCCAGACUCCUACGGGAGACAGAAGUGGGGAAUAUUGCACAAUGGGCGGAAGCCUGAUGCAGCAACGCCGCGUGCGGGAUGACGGCCUGCGGGUUGUAAACCGCUUUCGCCUGUGACGAAGCGUGAGUGACGGUAAUGGGUAAAGAAGCACCGGCUAACUACGUG